This 75-nucleotide transfer RNA is filed under the name Lentzea flava. RNAcentral's name for it is "tRNA-Val". It matches the Rfam family "tRNA". Rfam says of the family: Transfer RNA (tRNA) molecules are approximately 80 nucleotides in length. Their secondary structure includes four short double-helical elements and three loops (D, anti-codon, and T loops). Lineage: Bacteria; Bacillati; Actinomycetota; Actinomycetes; Pseudonocardiales; Pseudonocardiaceae. The record is from RNAcentral.
CGUCCGGUAGCUCAGGGGAAGAGCAUCUGUCUUACAAACAGAGGGUCCCAGGUUCGAAACCUGGUCGGACGACCA